Molecule: ribosomal RNA, 454 nt
Filed under: uncultured bacterium
Lineage: Bacteria
Description: partial 16S ribosomal RNA
Rfam family: Bacterial small subunit ribosomal RNA
Source: RNAcentral
GAUGAACGCUGACAGAAUGCUUAACACAUGCAAGUCCACUUGAACUUCGGUUUGGGUGGCGGACGGGUGAGUAACGCGUAAAGAACUUGCCUCACAGCUAGGGACAACAUUUGGAAACGAAUGCUAAUACCUGAUAUUAUGAUUAUAUGGCAUCGUAUAAUUAUGAAAGCUAUAUGCGCUGUGAGAGAGCUUUGCGUCCCAUUAGCUAGUUGGAGAGGUAACAGCUCACCAAGGCGAUGAUGGGUAGCCGGCCUGAGAGGGUGAUCGGCCACAAGGGGACGGAGACACGGCCCUUACUCCUACGGGAGGCAGCAGUGGGGAAUAUUGGACAAUGGACCGAGAGUCUGAUCCAGCAAUUCUGUGUGCACGAUGAAGUUUUUCGGAAUGUAAAGUGCUUUCAGUUGGGAAGAAAAAAAUGACGGUACCAACAGAAGAAGUGACGGCUAAAUACGUG